GGGACGGGUGAGUAACACGUGGAUAACCUACCUAUAAGACUGGGAUAACUUCGGGAAACCGGAGCUAAUACCGGAUAAUAUUUUGAACCGCAUGGUUCAAAAGUGAAAGACGGUCUUGCUGUCACUUAUAGAUGGAUCCGCGCUGCAUUAGCUAGUUGGUAAGGUAACGGCUUACCAAGGCAACGAUGCAUAGCCGGCCUGAGAGGGUGAUCGGCCACACUGGAACUGAGACACGGUCCAG
This 241-nucleotide ribosomal RNA is filed under the name uncultured Staphylococcus sp. RNAcentral's name for it is "partial 16S ribosomal RNA". It matches the Rfam family "Bacterial small subunit ribosomal RNA", at positions 100 to 334 of the family's 1533-position model. Lineage: Bacteria; Bacillati; Bacillota; Bacilli; Caryophanales; Staphylococcaceae. The record is from RNAcentral.